AUGUCUAAUCCUGCAUCGGUUCAAAGAGAAAAAAGGCAAGGCUUUGAAUCUAUGAGCCUUUUCCUCCAAUGUAUAAUAAAGGGAAGGAAUAAAUUGAUGCCUGCUUUGUUCUUCCUUGGAUUUGCUGCAAGAGAAAAAAGGCAAGGCUUUGAAUCUAUGAGCCUUUUCCUCCAAUGUAUAAUAAAGAGAAGGAAUAAAUUGAUGCCUGCUUUGUUCUUCCUUGGAUUUGCUGCAACUUCAAGCAUCAGUCCCUUUGAAUCGCUUUCUGCAGUGUAUCAAUCUAGCUCUAUACUUCCUCCAAAUCACUUUUCUGCAACACUGGUCUUAGAAUGUAACAUGAGCAAAAGGAGCAAGGUGUUGAAUUCAUGUAAAAUCAUUUCUUGUCAGAUUCUAGGGUCGGAUUGCCUCAUGUGA
Molecule: ribosomal RNA, 414 nt
Filed under: Triticum aestivum (bread wheat)
Lineage: Eukaryota; Viridiplantae; Streptophyta; Magnoliopsida; Poales; Poaceae
Description: partial small subunit ribosomal RNA
Source: RNAcentral